UGCAAGUCGAACGGAAACGAAACUAGCUUGCUAGUAGGCGUCGAGUGGCGGACGGGUGAGUAACGCGUAGGAAUCUGCCUGAUAGUGGGGGAUAGCCCGAAGAAAUUCGGAUUAAUACCGCAUAAUCUAUUCGUAGUAAAGUGGGGGACUUUCGAGCCUCACGCUAUCAGAUGAGCCUGCGUAAGAUUAGCUUGUUGGUAGGGUAAAAGCCUACCAAGGCAACGAUCUUUAGCUGGUCUGAGAGGAUGAUCAGCCACAUCGGGACUGAGACACGGCCCGAACUCCUACGGGAGGCAGCAGUGGGGAAUAUUGGACAAUGGGGGCAACCCUGAUCCAGCAAUACCGCGUGUGUGAAGAAGGCCUGAGGGUUGUAAAGCACUUUCAAUUAUGAAGAAAAGUUAAUGGUUAAUAACCAUUGACCUUGACGUUAAUUUUAGAAGAAGCACCGGCUAACUCCGUGCCAGCAGCCGCGGUAAUACGGAGGGUGCAAGCGUUAAUCGGAAUUACUGGGCGUAAAGCGUGCGUAGGCGGUUUAUUAAGUCAGAUGUGAAAGCCCCGGGCUUAACCUGGGAACUGCAUUUGAAACUGGUCAACUAGAGUAUGGUAGAGGAAAGUGGAAUUUCUGGUGUAGCGGUGAAAUGCGUAGAUAUCAGAAGGAACAUCAAUGGCGAAGGCAGCUUUCUGGACCAAUACUGACGCUGAGGUACGAAAGCGUGGGUAGCAAACAGGAUUAGAUACCCUGGUAGUCCACGCCGUAAACGAUGAUAACUAGCCGUUGGGGGGAUUUACCCCUUAGUGGCGAAGCUAACGCGUUAAGU
Molecule: ribosomal RNA, 818 nt
Filed under: uncultured bacterium
Lineage: Bacteria
Description: bacterial SSU rRNA
Rfam family: Bacterial small subunit ribosomal RNA
Source: RNAcentral